RNAcentral lists this ribosomal RNA (1045 nucleotides) under unidentified archaeon. RNAcentral describes it as "bacterial SSU rRNA". It matches the Rfam family "Archaeal small subunit ribosomal RNA", at positions 1 to 1054 of the family's 1478-position model. The record is from RNAcentral.
UCCGGUUGAUCCUGCCAGAGGCCACUGCUAUCGGGGUUCGACUAAUCCAUGCGAGUCGAGAGGGUUCGGCCCUCGGCGUACUGCUCAGUAACACGUGGACAACCUGCCCUAAGGUGAGGGAUAACCCCGGGAAACUGGGGAUAAUACCUCAUAAUCUACAGAUGCUGGAAUGCUCUGUAGGUGAAAGGUCAGCCGCCUUAGGAUGGGUCUGCGGCCGAUUAGGUAGUUGUUGGGGUAACGGCCCAACAAGCCUGUAAUCGGUACGGGUUGUGGGAGCAAGAGCCCGGAGAUGGAUUCUGAGACAAGAAUCCAGGCCCUACGGGGCGCAGCAGGAGCGGAAACUUUACAAUGCAGGUAACCUGUGAUAAGGGAACCCCGAGUGCCCGUAUGGACGGGCUGUUCAGGUGUGUAAAGAACACCUGGAGAAAGGGCCGGGCAAGACCGGUGCCAGCCGCCGCGGUAAUACCGGCGGCUCGAGUGGUGGCCACUAUUACUGGGCUUAAAGCGUCCGUAGCUGGGUAGUUAAGUCUCUUGGGAAAUCUUCCGGCUCAACCGGAAGGCGUCUAAGGGAUACUGGCUACCUAGGGAUCGGGAGAAGGUGAGAGGUACUCUGGGGGUAGGAGUGAAAUCCUGUAAUCCUUAGGGGACCACCUGUGGCGAAGGCGUCUCACCAGAACGACUCCGACAGUGAGGGACGAAAGCUGGGGGAGCAAACCGGAUUAGAUACCCGGGUAGUCCCAGCUGUAAACUAUGCGUGUUAGGUGUAUCGGUGACCACGAGUUACCGAGGUGCCGAAGGGAAACCGUGAAACGCGCCGCCUGGGAAGUACGGUCGCAAGGCUGAAACUUAAAGGAAUUGGCGGGGGAGCACCACAACGGGUGGAGCCUGCGGUUUAAUUGGACUCAACGCCGGACAGCUCACCGGGUAGGACAGCGAUAUGAUAGCCGGGCUGAAGACCUUGCUUGAUCAGCUGAGAGGAGGUGCAUGGCCGUCGUCAGUUCGUACUGUGAAGCAUCCUGUUAAGUCAGGUAACGAGCGAGACCCA